GUCCUUUUGAUUUUUAUAUAAGGUCUAGCCUGCCCAAUGAAUUAUUUUAAAUGGCCGCGGUACACUGACCGUGCAAAGGUAGCAUAAUCAUUAGUUUUUUAAUUGAAAGCUGGAAUGAAAGGUUGGAUAAGAAAAAUACUGUCUCUUGGAAAUUUUAUUAGAAUUUUAUUUUUAAGUCAAAAAGCUUAAAUGUAAUUUAAAGACGAGAAGACCCUUUAGAGUUUUAUAUAAUAUUGAUUAAUUUAUACUUUAGAAUUUAUAUUGUGAAUUAAUUGGUUUAUAUUUGGUUGGGGUGAUUGAAAAAUUUAAUAAACUUUUUUUAUUAUAUUACAUUAAUUUAUGAAUAUUUGAUCCAAAAUUUUUGAUUACAAGAAUAAAUUACCUAAGGGAUAACAGCGUUAUUUUUUUUGAGAGUUCAAAUCGAAAAAAAAGAUUGCGACCUCGAUGUUGGAUUAAAAUUAAAUUAUGGUGCAGAAGCUAUAACUUUAGGUCUGUUCGACCUUUAAAAUUUUACA
RNAcentral lists this ribosomal RNA (515 nucleotides) under Anthocorcina sp. MJM-2013. RNAcentral describes it as "partial 16S ribosomal RNA". It matches the Rfam family "Bacterial large subunit ribosomal RNA", at positions 1819 to 2600 of the family's 2925-position model. Lineage: Eukaryota; Metazoa; Arthropoda; Insecta; Coleoptera; Nitidulidae. The record is from RNAcentral.